RNAcentral lists this ribosomal RNA (752 nucleotides) under unidentified archaeon. Its description in RNAcentral is "bacterial SSU rRNA". It matches the Rfam family "Archaeal small subunit ribosomal RNA", at positions 1 to 761 of the family's 1478-position model. The record is from RNAcentral.
UCCGGUUGAUCCUGCCAGAGGUUACUGCUAUCGAGGUUCGACUAAGCCAUGCGAGUCGAAUGUAGCAAUACAUGGCGUACUGCUCAGUAACACGUGGACAACCUGCCCUUAGGUCGGGUAUAAACCCGGGAAACUGGGUAUAAUCCCCGAUAGGUCUCGGCUGCUGGAAUGCAUCGAGAUUGAAAGCUCCGGCGCCUAAGGAUGGGUCUGCGGCCUAUCAGGUAGUAGUGGGUGUAGCGUACCUACUAGCCUACGACGGGUACGGGUUGUGAGAGCAAGAGCCCGGAGAUGGAUUCUGAGACACGAAUCCAGGCCCUACGGGGUGCAGCAGGCGCGAAAACUUUACAAUGCUAGCAACAGCGAUAAGGGAACCUCGAGUGCCAGGUUACAAAUCUGGCUGUCGAGAUGCCUAAAAAGCAUUUCAUAGCAAGGGCCGGGCAAGACCGGUGCCAGCCGCCGCGGUAACACCGGCGGCUCGAGUGGUAACCGUUAUUAUUGGGUCUAAAGGGUCUGUAGCCGGCCGGAUAAGUCUCUUGAGAAAUCUGGCAGCUUAACUGUCAGGCUUUCAGGAGAUACUGUCUGGCUCGAGGCCGGGAGAGGUGAGAGGUACUUCAGGGGUAGGGGUGAAAUCUUGUAAUCCUUGAAGGACCACCAGUGGCGAAGGCGUCUCACCAGAACGGACCUGACGGCAAAGGACGAAAGCUAGGGGCACGAACCGGAUUAGAACCCGGGUAGUCCUAGCCGUAAACGAU